Molecule: long non-coding RNA, 17707 nt
Filed under: Xyrichtys novacula (pearly razorfish)
Lineage: Eukaryota; Metazoa; Chordata; Actinopteri; Labriformes; Labridae
Source: RNAcentral
CUACACACAAACGUCGAACGGUAUUGAAGUAACUUUUGUUUCAGUUUUUUUUUCACAACAAUUCAAAAAUAUCCAAGCUAGAGAGAGAUAUCAGUGAAGUUCCGUUGUGAAAUAUAAUAAAGCGGAUGUUUGUGCUCGCAGGAGGUGGAGCAAAGCGCCGAUAGCUAACAGGUAAGCUAAAUCGCGCGAUAACCGUUGCUAGAGUGUUUGUUUACAUUGUCGAGCUAGUACUUUCGGUGACUCUGGUAUUUGGAGUUCAUACACUUUUUGUUUAAUAGGCCACAUGGAUGCAAAUUAGUGGUAGCUGGGUCUUAUAUUGUUAGAUAGAGUGCAGCAGCAUAAUUGUAGAGCUGAAGUGACUCAGAUACAGAACCUUAACAUCCAUGUUUGAAACACAAAGACUUAACCAGAGGGAGUUAAAACUACAACAACAUUAAAUCAACCAUUUGUUUUAUAUGUGCUAAACUCUGGUGGUAUAUUACAGUUUUCCUCAGUCGCUUUGGUGCAUAUCUCACAUCACUAUUAACAUUUACACAACAGUUGAGUUGGUGCAUUUCUCAGAACAAUGAGUACAAACCUCAAAACGUAGUGGAUAGCCUGCAAAAGCGCGUCACUUGCUCAAAAUGAAUAGUUGAUUCCUCAAAAGCAAGUAUUCCUGUCAGUGGAAGUGUCUGUGUCAUCAAAAUAAUAAGUCCAGACAUCAUUGUUUAUGAACAAGACAGUCAAAUGGCAGAGAUUGGAAAAUGUGGAGUCACCAAGUCAUUUCCGUGCCAUGUAUCUGUUCUGCUCAGUUACUGAACCAGGUGCCUUCUGCCUUCACUAAUGAGCUCACCCUCCUGGCUGCUCAUUGGAAGCAGCUGGUUCAGUGACAGAGCAGAGCAAAUACAUGGCAUGGAGAUGACUUGGUGACUCCACAAUUCCCAUCUCUGUCAAAUGGCUUUGUCAUGUUUUCAUUAUGACACUUUACUCUGUUUUCCAAUGCAAAAAAAGUCAGAUCUUGGUACCUGAAGAUGCUCAAGACAGCACUAUACACUACCUGUAGAGCCAUUUGAAAACUACAGUAAAGAAUAAGAAGAACUUUAUUAAUCACCGAGGGGAAAUUCAAUUGUCUGUUGUCUCACAUAAUAUGUCUCUAAAAGUUAUCUAUUAUUUACAUAAGAGUUACAAAGUCUGAUGGCUGUUGGUACAAAAGACCUUCUGGAUCUUUCUGUCCUGCAGCGAAGAGAGAGGAGCCGUCCACCACCAUUGGCCCUUUGGUCCAUCAAAGUGUUGUGAAGUGGGUGAUCCAUGUUCUUUAGAAUAGUUAGAUCUCUCCACCACAUCCUCCACUGAGUCCAGCUUGAAUCCAACCACAGAGCCAGCCUUUUUCACCAGUUUGUUAAGACGUCUUGAAUCUUUGUGUUUGAUGCUUCCUGAACAGAACACUGUAGACACUACAGACUGAUAAAACCUCUGCAGUUAUGUGAGAAAUGCACCAAAGCUGAGAAAAACUGUAAUAGCAGAUUGUUGUUGACAUCUUCCCCCAGUAGAGGGCACUACAUGCAUGUGCUGAGCCUCUCUCUUGGCUGCCUGCCUUUGCUUCUCUGGAAAUUGACUGAUGUUAAACCUUUGGGUUCCAGUUUAGUUUGGAUCUAACCUGUUUUGGCAGCGUGCUUAAUGCUUUUUAUAGUAGCACAGGGCUUGGCAGCAGCAGAGAAAACCCAGUAACUGUCUGUCCCACAUUAAGUGCAGGCCUAUCAUUACUGUCUGCGCUGCUUUUAACAACUCUGAUGAGCUGGUUGCACAUAUACCAUCGCUCACAGCUAUACUGUGUAUUCAUAUAUAUAUACAAUCCCAUAAAACCUUCAGAUGCUCUUGUCUGUGAAUGAUUGGAGUGUGUUGAAAAGAUGUUGAAAUGAAUUGAGAAGAGAAUUGAUCAGGUUCUUUGGUCCGAUCUUCACAGAAAAACCAAAAUUUCCAAUUCAAAUCGUCCAUUUUGAUCCCGGCUAAACUUCUUACACAUCCCUCCUGUUUGCUUCCUGUAUGGUCGUGUGUUGACCAACCUGUCUGUCUCUGCAGGGUCAAACUUGUUAACCUCUCCAUUGAAGGAAACAUCAUCAGGAGGGGGAUGAUGUGCAGUUUGCUACACAUUGUAAGGCACACAAACAGACGCCCUGAUCCCACAGGCAGAACGUAGCUUUCACCACCGAGCAAACAUUUGAUCCGAUGGUGGAUCAUCGCACUAACCCUCAUCCCCCAUUAGGCCGCCAUGUUUCACUCCAUUGCUUGUUCUUUAUGGUGUACAGACAGAAAAGAUGCACCAGAGGAAAGAUUUAUGCGCUGCAGUUGACCUCAUGCUGGGGAGUUUAGUGUAGAAAUUGAGACGUAAGCUGUGAAUUUAGUGUGACAGGGUUUAGAAGAGCAGAAAAGGGAAGCCUUCUGUCUCAUGUUCAGGGACAAGCGGACAACUUAUUUGUUGUUACAGGGCUGCUCGUGGUGUUAACCCAUGACCCCUCUGCCCUCUGACCUGUGGAACGACAGCUCCAUCCACGCGUCAGGGAGAAGAGCUGUCACAACGGAAACACCCAGAACAUGGGCAGGGCUGACGGGGAGACAGGGACAAUUACAUAUUUGGAGAGAGCAGGAUCAAACAGACCGCGCAGCUUAAGAGUGUCAGGCCACCGGAUGCAGAGUGUGUCUGCAGGAAAAGUCUGGAUUAAGAGUUCAACUCUGCUAAAGUGAUGAGAGCAGUUAGUGGACUGCAUGGCAUGUAUACAUCUGUAAAAUCUUAGGGAUUGAUUUGCAUUUUUUUCCUGAUGAAAGCGGCUUUUGAAUUAAUAUAAUUAGUCUGAUUUUUGCAGAAACAGAUGUUGAUGUUGACGCUUGAUUAAAGUCCAUUAAAUUAAUUAUAUCUCAUUAAAAAUUCUUCUUUUAAACAUCAGUAUCAGCUCAAAUUUUCACAAUCAGUAAAUCUCUAAGAGUCAAAUAAAGGUUGGUUGGUUAUAUGCUUUGGUCCCUCUGUAUCCUGGCAAACUUGGGUCCAAAAUUUCCAGUGAUUAUUUGCAGAUCAGGUUGUUAGGAAACCUGGAAUGAAAUGCUUUGGCAUAAAAAAACAGUUUUCUAUUGACUUUUUACAAACACAAGACAUGGGCAUGAUUUGUUGAAUGAGCUGCUUUGGCUUAGAUUUAGUCUUUUAAAACACAAGAUGCAGAUGUUUGAUGGGUAAAAUCAUGAACUGGUUGAAUGAAUCAAAUACUUUCAAAUCUCGAAAUAUGUCUUUUUGCAAAAUCCAAUCUUAAAAUACCGUAGAGCACAGGUGUGCAGAUGGUCGAGUGCGUUAGCACACCUCACGUAUGGGGACCAUGGUACCUGUGGCGGUUGCAGGUUCGAGUCCAGUCCCGACUGUGUGCUGCAUGUCUUCCCCCUAACCCUCCCCUCACCCUAUAAUAUCAAUAGAAAGGCAAAAUUGCCUCAAAAAAUACUAAAAUAAAAAAAAAAUAUAUUCUUUAGAGCAAAGCCAUGGUGUUCACUGAUAACUGGAAAAGAAAUGCUAACCAUCAAUGCAUGUUAAAUAUAAUCUGUUUUCAUGCUGCAGAGAGUUGAAAUCUUCUUGCAUAGCUUUCUCUUGGAUUUGUUUUGGGGAAACGUCACGUGUUAAAGUCUCCUUUUGAACAAGAGCGAAGACAGCAGAAUGUACAGAGAACAAUGUCUGACAGUCUGGAAAAUAUGUUGAAGCCAAAGCCUGGUGGAAAACUUCAGGGGAACAUUUGGGGUUCAAGUGGUCAAGGUUCCUGCUCGUACACCGCUUGUUUAUUUUAUCUGGAACUCAGCAGCCAUCUGAUUUUGAUGGCUCCCUGAAUUUAUCACUGUUUCUGCUGAUAACCACCUUCCACUAGGGUUUAAAGGUCUGACAUUUGUCUUGCAUUUUUCAGGUGACAAACAGAUCCACCUUACUCUUUUGAACGUCUGCGUCCAGCGCCUAAAAUUCCGCUGAAGGAGCUCUAACUCUGAUCCCUGGAACCUUCAGGCCAUGGGCGAAGAAUACAGAGGUGGGUGACUGCAAACAUCAGUGCCACACAUGUAUCGCACAGGGUCACUUUAUCUUCAAAGCCUGUCGCCUCCAACAUGUGAUACGACUCAGACCUCCAAAAAAGGCAGACAUCUUGCAUUCCUGAGUCCAUUCCACAAAGUACAAUAACUUCCUUGAAUUCUUCGACCCUCGGCGGCGGAGCCAGGGCACAUCCUGUUGUCCUCGCAGCACUUCCUGUUCAUGCAGCUCAGUCGGUUGUCCCCGUUGCCAUGGACACUUGAAAACACUGUACUCAUGCUUAAUAGGCAUACUAGUGGGUUAUGAAAUGAAGGGUACAGAGGCAGGAGUCAAUUUCCUGCCUGUGCACGAUAAGUACGUUUCAUGUAUACAAGAUAAUUACAGUCGUUUAAAUGUCAGUCAUCUAUUUUCUUUUUACGAGCUAUAGUCAUUGUUCGGAUGCACCUUAAAGAGUUUAUUGAGUACAGCUGGUUUCUUCGCUUUUUUUGAAGGUCUGUGAUGUUAGAAUGAAUGAUGUUGUUUAGUGCAGAACGGCAACAGCGCCAAGCAGCUGCAGAAAUCUAAAUUCAAUCUGUGCAUCAACAAAGAGGAUGCACCAGCAGACAUCUCUCUCAUACUCUCUGAUUAGCUGCAUUAUAUACGUGGAGACACAACUUAGAGGUUUAUAGUGAGGGUGACGUGUCCAUGUUUGGGUGGCAGUAGCUCAGGAGGUAGAGCAGUCGUCCAAGAACUGGAAGGUCGGGGUUCGAUUCCCCCCCUGUCCCAAAUUUGUCUGUUGUGUCCUUCAGGCAAGACACUCAACCUACCUUGCUCCCAGUGUGUGUUCUCCUCUGGUUUAUGAGUGUGAGUGUUGUGCAGUGGUGGUCAGAGAGGCUGUAGGUGCAAACUAGCAGCCAUGUCUCCAUCAGCUGUGACUACUAAGGUAGUUUACCACCACCAAGCUGUGACUGUGUGAGCGAAUGAAUGAUGUACCCGAUGUAAAGCGCUUUGACGGUCUCUGAUUAAGCGCUAUAAAAUCUGAUGCAUUAUUUUAAGUUCUUUAGUCCUUUAUGGAGAUUUUACUGUUAUAAGUAAAUGAUAAUGAUAAAAUCAAGUUGGCAAAUGUACCUGGAUGGCUGUAAAUAUGCCUCAGCAGGUUGCACAAGUGUAAUCUAUAGGUGGGACUCAAAAGAUGUUCUCAGACAGGAAACAAGAACUGAAACUACAGGGAAGCUCAGUUGGUCUUAUUUCCUGACAGAAAGACACGCUCAGUUUUUACAGUUUUUUUCUCUCUACCUGGCAGAGUGAACCACUCAGUCUGAUGAAUUCAGAUCUGUUUCUUGGAUCUACUUCUAUAAAGCUAGUUGUCCAGUCUUUUGAUGUUGCCUGCUUUACAUUUAUAAAAGUAGAAAGUUUCUCUCUCUCUGUUUACCUGCAGGAGAGUCAAACUGUGAUGUGAAGGGUACAGAGCCGUAAGAGGGGAUGAAUGGCAAUCUUAUACUGAAAAAUUGAAGAAAAAAGUUUAUAAAUAGGCCACAAAUACACUGAAGUAGUUGUAGAUAAAGCCUAGUGGGCUUGCAUGGGUAUAGUCUGUAACCUGGUUUAUACCCCUAUGUUGGUUUUACACCACAGCUACACCUUUGUGAGGAGGGGGGCACUAUUUUAAAAAUAUAGGGGUUACCAGAAAUGUUGUAAAUGAGGAAUAUCAUGUUGCAGGGCUUGUGGUCAGAGUCAUAUAUCAGGAUUAUGUGCAAAAUGCUGUAAGGUUAAAGGUAACGAUCUCUGAUUGGCUCGUGUCCUUCUGGUGUUGAUGCUUAUUAUUCUAUAAUCAUGAUCAUGAGAAAAGUGACACUCAUAUUAAAAAUGAAACAGACACACUCUUGAGGAGGUUGCUGCAGGAGCGUUUGUACUUUUUGUGCUGGAGGGUGUUUUCACCUUCUCUUGUGGGUAAACUGAACCUCCUGUGUGAUGUGGUUUCACCAGGCAUGUGUGUCAGUUGCUCUUGGCAGAACUCUGGUGUUAAUAUGAGGCUAAGACAAAACACGCUUGUUUUUGUCUUCGCUAUAGUGUCAAAGGUCACACCAGAUUCACACAGAUAAACUCUAUGUUACCUGCGUCAGCUCAGAAGAUAAUUAUAUCUACUUUAAUGUCGAAAACUGUUAAUUUUUCCGUUUUUGGCCCCUUUUAUUCCCAGCAGUCUGCAGCCAGCACACUAAUUUGUUUCGUGUUACUGUAAAUGCUGAAAUCAGUUUGCUCAUGAGCUCAAUUAAGAAUUUCUUGGAAGAAAAAAGUGCCUCCAAGAAAAUCUUAAUUGAGUUACAGAGCUGGAAACAAUAAACUCAGCAAAUACGAAGUAUGUUUGACAAUGUUUGUGAAUAUUAUAAAGCCUGCACUUGCUGUAUGCUGCAUAUUAAAUUCUUGGAUGAGUCCUACAGUGAGCUCAGUUUGUUUCAUAACUGUAGUUUCACUGCCAGCAAGUUGUCCAUUUGUCAGCUUCCAACACGAAAACCGCGGCCAAACUUUCAUCCUACUCUUACAGAGAGAGAGAAGGAAACUGAGCGGAGUCUCCUGGGUCUGCUCACCCUGAGGGAUGCAUUCAAUUCUGCUUCCUGCAAGAGUCUAUACGGCAGAGACAAAUCAGACCAGCAACAGGCCGUUAUAAAGUCCAACUCUGAUUGUUUUUUGAAUUUUUUUUUAACUACUUAAAGUGUUGUCAUGAUGAUGAUAGUUUUUAUCCAAAAUCACGUUACCUGUGUCAUUUUCAAGGUCUUUUCUUCUACAGAGCUCCAGUAGAUCAUUAGCAAUUCGCCUCUGAGUCGUGGGUGGAGACAGUGCAGCUCUCCUCACUCCUCUUCACGCUAGCUUGUAACCUAACAUUGCCGGUGUAGUAGAAGAAGCAGGUAACAUAGGAGCUCUUCAGCUUUCAGACAGUAAUGUCUUUGGGGACGUGAUGAAAGCUAAUAUCAUAAUUAACUUUCUUAUGAGCAUUGCAAUCCACUAACGCACACGCUUGUUCCGCGAUCUUCCUCUCUACUUUUCCGAGCUCUGGGGCUCUGGGGGCGGAGCUUGGAGUUGUGAUGUAGGAAAUCUCACUGUGUCUGAUUUGAAUGCAGAAAUACUCAGAAAUACAAUUUCACACUUAUUAAUCUCAUGAUCUGUCCCGUAACAUCAGAAAAAUGUCAUAUGAACAUGUAGACAACAAGAAAAAGAUGAUUUUCAUCGGAGUGGGUCUUUGAAAGCAGAGGAGGGAUGUAACAAGCCCUCAUACCCCGAUGGGUGAGGAUGAGCAAACUUCAGGAAUGGACAGAGAUAGCAGACAAAGGUGGCGGUCCAUGAUAUCAUGCAUCAGGAAGGUGAUACCGCCUCUCCUCUCCUCUAGCUGAGGCUGACCCGUAUGCACACAGACGAAACACCACACCUCCGUCUGCUGCCUGCAAACAUGACACCGAUACUCAUCCCCAAUCUCUUCACAUCUCUAAACUCUUCAUUCUUACAUGUUGUUUAAAAUAGUCCCUAAAUUCCUCCCUGAAUCACCAGCUUAACUGUUAAGUUAUGUCACAACGCUGCUGACUGAUUCUGACGUUUGGCCGAUAAAAGCCACAAAAAUGAUGAUGAGGGUAUUCGUGACUGUACAAUUUCCUCAUGAUUCACCCCGUAUCUGGUCAUGCUGGGGACUUUUCACGCCUUCUGGAUGGGCCGUAUCAGAUGGCACACCGGAUGCCUGCCUCUGGACCAGAGAAGAAUUAUGUUUGGAUAUUCUUGGGGUCAGGUUGUUAUCUGCAACGCCCCUACACAACCGAUCCCAAACAAACAUAAACAACCUUUUUUUCUGCAGCACCAAGAAUGUAUGCAUUUUUGUUUUGUUUUAGUUCUUCUGAUACCAAACCGUUGAGUAAACUUGUCUGUUUAAUGACGGACCAGUAUCAUAUUCCACUGUCUUUGGAGGUAAACUAUCAUGAGGGGUGAUCUCUUAUCUUAGAUGGUGCUGAAAUCUUUGAUAGUCCACAUCACUGGUGCUGAAAGAAGUACAGGGAUCAUUUCUUUGAUUUGAAAUCUAAAUCUGAAACUAUAAAAUCCUCAAUGAAUUCUUUUUGUAUUCCAGAUUUAUAUAUUUAGUCUUUUCUGCCUCUUUUGUUCGGGGCGGCUGAGGAGAGACAGGAAAUGUGAGGAGAAUAGAGUGGAGUAGACGUGCAUCAAAGGGCCAGGCCAGCAUGAAGGACCGCAGCCUUUGUAUUUGUGGCACACGCUCUAUUGGCUGAAAUAAAUCCGGCGCCCCAAAUUAUUAACAGUCUGAAUCAUUGUGAAGUAUCCACAUGGAAGUUGGACAUUGUCGUCAGAAGAUUUUCCACUGAUAUUUUUCAGUUGCAGCAUUUAGAAAAGCUGCUAUGAACCUGAACGGGAUUACGUCUGAGUUUGUGCGUUUGAACAUUAGACGUGUUAAAACUUCCAAAAGUUUGGGUGUCCCCGCGUUUUUUUUUUCUUAAUGUGCUCCCCUCUGACUGGAGGGAGACUUUGGUUUAUUGGCCCUCUGACAUGAUCAGUGAAAUCCUCUCUAAGCCUCUACCCCUCAGCUCUGCACGCUCAUCAAACUUCACUCAAAUAUGUUAUGAUCUUCUAACUGCUUUCCCCAGCAGGGCAGCAUGUCAGGAAUGCUGCUUAAUGUCAGCGCCUGUCAGUCCGACUUAACGCGAGCCGCUCUGUAACACUUAAAGCCUGUGAUGUCAUGGCGUGAGAGUCGGUGUAAGAAAAACUGCCGGCACGCGAUGUUAUUAAUAGAGCGAUGUGUAUGUGUACAGUAUAUGUGUGUGUAGUUUUAGCGGCAGACAUCCCAUGGGACAGAUCCAGCUUAUCAGAGCUCCCAAAGGUGUUUUAUUAGUGGUGCAGAUGUGUGGAAAGAUCAACACUGAUUAAGACCUUGUGACGGAUUCAAGCUGUCAGUGAUGGUUUUGUUUCUUUGUUUUGUAACAUUAUGACUUGAAAUUGUAAUUUCAUUUGUGACAACAGAAACAAAAUCAAAUCAAGCUUAUAAAACUUUUUUGUGACCUAAAAAUAACAAAUAAACCUGCUACCUGUAGGAAUUUAGGCGUUUGUAUUAUCGAGGGAUGAAUUGUUCAGGGGCUCGACCUCAGCUGAACUCAGUCAGCGUGACUCUGGCUUUACACAGUCACGUAAAAGUUUAUUUAUAAAGCUUCUUUAAGAAGACAGCAGUUUAUCUAAGUGCUGUACAUGGGAUAAAUAAAUAGAUUACAAUUAAAACGAUAAAAUAAAAACAGUGUAUUAAAUUACAGACAGCAAAAAAAUAACAGCUACACUUCCUAUGACUUGUUUGUUCUCAUUUAUGAAACACAAGGGAGAAAAGGUGGGUCUUUAAGGACGAUGUAAGGACUAUGUUCUACCAAUACUGUCUCCAAUGAGUGUUAAAAUAGUAUUUUCUUUUAACCUUGUACAUCGUUGGUUUUAUUUCUCAAAAUUUUCUGUAUUUUAAAUUGUGUUUUUUAUUUCAUUUUCUUCUUUGUAAGGUGUCUUUGAGCACCUGUAGACUGUGAUAACUGCAAUUCUUCCAUUUUUUCAAGGUCUAACCUUCCUCGGAAAAUUUCUUAGUUUUCAAUCAUGAAAAAUAAAAAAUUCAUCGCAAUAUGUGCUCCAACAUGUUUUGUCUCUGUUAAUUAAACUGAUCAAUCAAUACAUUUCUUGCCAAACUACAUUGUAAAUUUGAUUACAAAAAAAAAAAACUUUUGAAUUGGUAUCUCGGCUCUGCGAGACUGAAAUAGUUGGCUGUAGCACAGUACUCUCCCCAGAAGAGACAGGAUUUUGAGCUGUUUCAGUUUCAGAGAUGCUGCUUGUAAUGGGAUGAUGUGUCGCCUGUGUUUGCAGGUUGAGCUGGUCUGGUCUAAAACAUCUGGAUCAAGUUGACUGGAUAUCGAUUAGAAUUACAAAUGAUAUUUAUUAUCUUCUUUUAUCUAAACUCUGGUGGUUUUGUCUUGAUUAAAAUUGACUAUUUGGUGUUCAAACCUUUAUGUAACAGGAGAGGACAAUGGUCAGUAAAACCUGUAAAUAGCAUGUUUACAGGGGGUGCUUUGGAGGUUGUGUAACUCUUAAUCAGGUGACUUGUUCCAGCAUCAGGUGAACAACAAGUCAUUUUCCCAAAUUGCCAGUCUGAGCCUGCAUGGUUGCUCAAUGUGACACAGGCAGAGAUUUACGUAACGAAUAAUAGUUGGUGUCCCAACCGUCCCCGAAGUCAAGCGUGUAAUGAUUUUCGCCGUCCCAUCCCUAUCAGCUUUCUCUGUCUCCACAUCCAAACCAAAACGGGUACCAGGAACUUUAUAUAUAGUCUGCUGUUAGAAACUGAUGAUGGUUAUUUUAAGGGAGGUGAGUCCAUCCCAGCUGUAUUGUGAAGUAGAAAUUACACUUUUGAAUUGGACCACUUCAAAUGAGAACCCUGAGAACUGGUUCUGAACUUGUAUAACACCAAUGUUGCUCAGGUUAAACAUUACGAGGGAGUGUUUUGUUGUGAAAAGCUUUUCGCCCAUAGCAACAUAUUUUCUCACAGCUCGCUAAAUGAGACGAACAGUAGCACUCGGAUCAAAGUCGGUAAAACCGCAAACCUCAAACCUGCCUGCCAAUCAUAACAGGCUGGCGUGCUUCUGUGUCCUUAUUACAGAGUCCCCUGAUGAGAAAGGACACGUGUGUGUGUGUGUGUGUGUGUGUGUGUGUGUGUGUGUGUGUGUGUGUGUGUGUGUGUGUGUGUGUGUGUGUGUGUGUGUACCAGCUGAACCUGAAAAACAAGCAAACAUUAAAACACCAGCUGAGCCUUAAAGUGAGGGCGAGGGAGCAGGAAAGCGGCAGAAAUGCUCAGUUUGAUAUGUCGUGUGUUUUUCUCUGAGUCAUUGGACUUUUUUAUUGCUGAAUUUCCCUGAGGGUCCCUUGAUUGUGAAGCCCCCCUUUCCUGUUACUGAACCUGAGCACAGAAGUCGUUGGAUUGGUUGGAAGGAGUGGUGGGAAUGUGGCUUUGGCUCGUAUGCCAAAGCCCUCAGGGCAUCCAUAGUUGAGGGCUUUAUUUCUCACCAAUUUAAUGCUCGAGUAACGCUCAAGAUCAGAAAGGACUUCCAUGGAAUUUAAUGGAGGACAGUUGAAACUAUAGCUGUGACACUAUAGCUGUAGUAUAGUCUAUAAUUAUAUACAUAGUUCAGGAGUGUCAUAACCAGACUACAGUGACUAAAAAUAGAAACUCCUCAAGGUGUGAAUUGAAUUGUUAGUAGGUAUGUUCUGGAUUCCACAAGACCCUAUUUUUAGGGGCCAACAGAGUCAAGCUGACUGAGCUGACAAGAAAAACGAACUCAGAGUAGAGUACUGUCUUCACAUUAACUCGAUCAUUGGCAACUAAAGGAGGUAAAAACUGUUACAAACAGAACAAACCCUUUUUGAAACGGUUCGAGGGUUCGUGAUUUCAUGCAAUUUUAAAUGUAUUAUUAGGGCCGGGGAAAUGCUAGCUGCAACAUGUUAAGCAUUCAGGUGAUUCUGGAGGCUUGACGUCCUGCGGUGAUAUGCAAAUUAUUUUUUGCAUAGUUUGCACAAGACUAUUUUUUUUAUCCAGGCUUCCAGCCAUUUUUUUUUAAACAAAAAUGCCCAUCCACGCUGGAGCCAAUCAAAACUUAUUCAUCCGCGACUUUGUUUACUUUUCCACGCGCUUGGGUGAGAUUGGAGUCACUGCUGCACUCACUCACAUUGGUGUACGCCGGUAUAAAUUGUAUACCUAAAACUUGUCCAGUGAGAAACGUUCCGCGGUGCAAAACUACAGUAGGUGCGAUUAAUAUGCGUUAAUAUUUUUAAGGAGAUAAUAUUACUGUAAUUAAUUAAUUGCAAUUAACGCGUUAAAUUCCAGGCACUAAUAUUUAUUACUGUACAGCUUAGGGUGCAGGGGGAUGGGUUAGGCACAUGGUCAGGGCUGAUACUUGGUAUCAAAUUCUAUAUUUGAGCAAGGAAAUAAAAGGACUUGCAGAGAAGAAUGGAGUUGGCCAGUGCGCCAUUCUUGGUCCAGAAAAUGAACAUCAAAUUGUACGUAAUUGUAUGUAAAUUGCCAAAUAACCUCUUGACCUGAGCAUUGUGUCUCUAGCCCAGGUAUGUGGACAAUAACCUGGAUGAGGAAAGAUUAAAAAAUGAACAAUUUCCUCUAUAAACAGAUCAGUUGGUAACGUCAUAAAAAGUUUUAUUUUAAAAAGUCUAUUAAAAUAAGCUUAAAGGAUAUUUUAUCUUGUGAAUUUUAUCGUGGAUACAGCUUUAGAUCUUAUCUCCUUCCUCCUCAUGUACAGUACAUGUGUGCCUAAUAUCCUCUAAAGAAAAAUCUCCUCCUGCUUCCUUUGAACCAGGAGACAUCGCUCUUUGAUUCUCUGCCAGGAAAAACGCUAACAAAGGUCUGCAGGCUGUUUAUUGCUCCAUCUUUAUCCGACAGUGAUGACAGACGUUCAAAAAAGUAUGCAUCAAAAAAGUCAAACACACAGCCGGUGGUUUAGUUUGCUUUUUGUUGGUCAUGUAGAGACAUCAGUGCACAUUUAGACUGUUUUAUAACCAGAUAAAAACACAUUUUAUGGUGAAAAGGUGCAUUUGUUUCUUACACAAAUCCAAACAUAACAGCUCAUUUUUCCACAGCAGUGCCAAGUCUGCAGAAAUGUUGCCAGUAAAAAUAAUCCAGAGAGCGAUUACACUUCCUUUGACACGUGUUUGGAAAAGUGUUUAGCAGCGUAUAAUUGUAACUUCUCAUAGACGGGAUUGUUUAGUUCACAGCAGCACAAUUUUAGCAUCCAGGCUGCAAAUCUCAAAUUGAUGUUUACAUUCCAGUUCCAGGCUAUUUCCAGACAUACCUGCUGAAUCCUCCCUUUCUGUUCUGUUAUUCUAGCACAACAUGAGGAGCGGUGGUUUCCAAAUUUAAAAUGAUUUAUCUGACUUUGGGAUGAUUUUGAGGCUUUGAGACACAGGUCAGUGCAAACCACAGGUUUGUUUAUGACAAGUAUAUCCUACAGAGGAACAGAUUCAUUUUGCGUCUCUUAAUCACAGAGCGAUGCAGCGUGUCAGCAGGAGCACGCCCAGCGCAUACCGACUCGCAUGAUGUGGUAAACAAGAAGUCAAAGAGAUGCAACAGCUGACCUCUUUUUGCCACAAAAUACGUCUUUAUUAGAAUUACAUAACACACUGGAAACCUUUCCUGAGGCCUCCUCUGCUCGCUGAUGAUAAAAUUUGAUAAGCGCAUAUGUUUAUGAAAUACUGGUUAGUAUUUUUCAUAAUAUUAUUACAUGGAGAGACUGAAAGCCAAGACAUUUGACAGGAAUUGGAAGCUGUGCGGGAUUUUGUCAUAGAACAGAGUACACAGACAAAUCCGGGUUAUGAGUUUCUGUUCUUUCUCCUUUACAUUCAUAAGAACUUGUUUAUGGUUGGUGAGGGCGUAGAAGAGAAAGAAAAGGAUUUAAAGUGAACAGCAUUCCAGGAGUUGUUGUAUGUUUUCCAUUACAUCAGAGCUGUCUGAAGGCCAUCGAGGGCAGAUCAUCACUGUCAGUCUGGGAGACUAAUGUGUCUCAUCAUUGUCUGUCAGAGAAUAAGAAGUGAUCCCAUGAUGCGCGUAGUGGUCUGAGUUUUUUGAUGUGUCAUGCACUGAAACUCUGGUCUUUGUCUGGUCAGAUUCCUGCUAAUGUAUCGUCUCUAAAGGCCGAGUAUUAUUGGCAUUAUUCAUCAGUGGAAUUUCUUAUGAAGCACUUACAGCAGCCUCAGGUCCUCAUUCAGGGUGGCUCUUAUCUGCAGCGCUGCAGGAGCCUCUCUGUGGUUCCUGUUAUUGCGAUCGUCAUGUUGUGCAGGCAAAUACUUGCACCCACUUCGGCUGUGGCCGGGCUCUCGGCCUUUUUCCACCGCCUGACAAUUCAGAUUGUUUAAACCGCGAUGGCAGAAAAUACGGAUUGUUUGUUUUUACAAUGCCAGUCUACAGUGGCCUGAGCGUGCGUUGUUUUGACUCUGAGAACAAUCAACUUCUGCAAUAAAAGAGCACCCCUCCCUCCCUCUCUCCCUCUCUGCACAACUCCCCCUCCUCUCUAACCUUCUUCUCCUCCUUAUUUAUUUACAACAAGGAUUCCUCCUGAAAUGCCAGCAUCUCCUCAUUAUUUUUUACUUUGGCUGGAGCAUGAGAAAACUCCUCAACAGAACAGAUUGUUUGGAACAAAACACCGAGGGGAAUUGUCUGAUGUGCUGCCAGUUGUCAAAAGUGUGUCGUUUGUAAUUGAGAAUUAAUGAACAGUCAUGUAAGCCUGGAAUGGCAGCAUCGUGUAAUCACAACAUGUUUAUUGGAUGAGCAAAUAAAGUUGACGUCCCGGAAACUUCCUCUGUGAUGGUCAAGGUGACUGGACUUCCAACGACUUCCAUAUAUUCGGUGUUAUGGCAUUUUGUUACCUUGACAUUGUUCCUAUUGAGUGCACCCAUGUGCCCACUUUUUAGACCUAGAAAACAACAGGAAAACACUCCUAAUUAACAGGUUACUUAACUCGUUCACCCUGGAGCUCAGAGCAAGGCUGUUGUUUCACCUGUCAGGUUUUGUAGUCUGGAACUGUUAUGCAUGAAAAUUGUUAGUUUUUGAAAAGAACUAGCUUUGUUUUUAUACAUAACUUGACAUAUUUAGAUUUUGAAUUUCUGCUCAUGGUUAUUGAUUCCAUUUAUCAGCUGAGAUAUUUCCUUUUGAAGGAAGUUGACCAACUCAAAAUACAAAUUUUUUUUAAUAUAAUAUAUGCCACCAUUUUGGGUGGGCUUGACACCAAUAAUUAAGACGUGUAACUUUCCACAAGAGGUUAAAUCUACAGGCACUCACAAGAUCAACAUGAUUUAUACUCCAAAUAUACAAAAAGUUUGCUUGGCUGGGAGAAUCUCAACAUGUACUAUAUGUGCUGCAUCAAUGUUAAAGACCCACUACAAUGAAAAUCAUGUUUUUCCUGCUGUCUACAUGUUCAUAUGGCAUUUUCCUGAUGCUACAGGUCAUAUCAUGAGAAUCGUAAGUGCGAAAUUGCAUUUCUGAGUAUUUCUGCAAUUUAAAUCGCUGUGACCCAAACGGCAGGCUCAGAAACAGUGAGAUUUCCUAUGUCACAAAUCCAAGCUCCGCCCCCAGAGCGCUGCUAUGCAGGCCAGUCUCGGAGAAACAGAGAGGACAAUUGCAGAACAAGUGUGUGCCUUAGCGGAUUGCAAUGUUCGUCAGAAGGCAAACUAUGAUAUUAACUUUCAUCAUGUCCUCAAAAACAUUAGUGUCUAAGAGCUGAAUAGCUUCUAUGUUACCUGCUACUUCUGCUUCACCGGCAAUGUUAAGCUACAAGCUAGCAUGAGGAGGAGUGUGCAGAAUGGCGCUGUCUCCGCAGUUGUAAAAAAAAAUUAUCGGAGUGGGACUUUCACUGGGAUAUUACACUGUUCUUGGGGGGCAUAUUGUGAUAGCUUAACACAAUUUGACUCUGCAGGGGUCCAUGUCUACCAAAAGUGGUCUAAAGAAGGUGGUGGUUGGUGGUCAAGACGAGCUGAUGUGGUCGGUGGGUAAUGGUGGCAACAGAGAAGCAACCGGACUCAGAUUUCUCAGGAGACUUUAGACUGGAUCUGAUAGAAAAGUUGUCAGAACACACAGUGCGUCACAUUUUUAGGGCUGCUUAACCGCAGAGUGACCAUGCCGACCUCCUUUACCACCAAACGAAACCUGCUGUGGUUACAUAAGAACCAAGACUGGACCUCUGAACAAUGGAAGAAGGUGGCCAACAGCAACAGGAUAGUGUCUACUUGGGCUCCAGUUCUCAAUCCAAUCAUGCAUCUAUGGGAAGGGCUGGACAACCAAGUCUGAUAGAUGGAGGCACCACCUUACAACUUCCAGGACUCACAGGAUCUGCUGUUGGUGUCUUGGCGCCAGAUUCCACAGCACUCCCUCAGAGAUCUGGUUGACUCUCCCGAUCAAGGAUGUAAAAACCCCGUUCUGAGACAAAUCUUGUCAAUCCCCAUCUGUAGUGGAGGAUGACAGUUGGCUGCACAGGCACUACUACCCCCAUCCCCUCUGUUGUACUGUGCCUUUAAAAACAAACAGUGUCGUCGAAGUUGGUUCCACUUGAUCUUAGGAAAGUUUGCAGGGAACAACAGGAAGCUGAGCUGCAUGUUUAUGGAAGAAGUACGUCAGAUUAUGUAGGUUUUGUCAACGAGAUAAAACACAACCGCUUCACAGAGAAAUGGAAAAGUACUUACUGAUGGAGACUUUGAAAGCUUUUCAGCCUUCCUCUCCAGACUUUCCUUUCUUCUCUUAGGGAACCAAAGAGUGUGUGAGUGUGUGUCUCUCUAUGUGUGUGUAUUUUAGGGGUUGUAGGUGAACUGCGGGUGGGGGAAAGGUGGGAGUCUCUCCUUUCAAAAGGGCCAAGAACAAAACAGGAAACCAUCCCCUUGUUUUGGCUCGUGGUCGCUACAAGUGUUUGGAAUUUUGAGGAGCCAAAUCACGUGUUUUUAUGUUCAUGUCUGCGCUCAGGUCAGAGCAUGCACACACAAACACACAAAAACUUUCACACACACAUACACACACAUAGAGGGGGAAUGUCUGGCAUGUCUUUAUAAGCAAAGACCUGAAGACUGAGAACCCCCCCGUGGAUGUUAUGAGCAGCGAUCACUGAAUAGACUAAAUACACCUCGAUACAGUUUGGUGGCCUUGCUUGACUCUGGGUUUGGAUUCAUUGUGGGCCAAAGUGAUGUUGAUGCUUGUGUCUUUAUGAUUUUGGCUAACAAGUUAACAAAACAUCAUGACCCCUUAAUAUAUCUCACUAACCAUACACUACUCUGCUUCUUUUAUCCGUUCAAAAAUGUGUUCGGGAAAUAACACAAAACAAAAAAAAAAAACAUCUUCUUGGAAUAUUUCUUAUCGCCUUCAACAAGAGAUAGUACAGAAAAAUGGGCUAUUGUUGUGAAAGGAAUCUGGGAACUUGUGUUAUUGUUGACACUGUUUCUACAAAGACAAGGCUUUCCUCCACUUCCUCAGGCAUCAUAUUGUUUAGGCAUAGUUGGCAUCUCUGUGUGGUUUAUUUUGCACCGUUGAGGUUACCUGGCAUGCUUCACGACCUGCCAACAGAACUACCAAACAAAGUGACACCUAUUCUUCUCAGCUCAUGCACGGGGACCUCCCCUGUGGAUGCCUUCCUGUGCCUGUCAGAUCCUCAGCUCCUACCCUCAUGAUAAACAACGUCUGAAGAGAUGCCUCCCCCGAUAUUAAAACUUUUUAAUGCUUCCUUUGAUUGUACGAAACAAUUGGUCACAUCAAGGUCGAGGCUACAAAGAGGAAAAAUAAAGGUUUGGCUCAUAAUUGAUACUUUGAUUGUUUCAAUUCAAGUAAAAACCACAAAUCAAAAACCUUCUCUUUUCUCUGUCACUUUAAUUAACCUACACGGUUCCAAAAUGGAAAGCUUGAUGGUUAUCAUUGAGGUACACCACAAUUCAUUUCACAGUAUGACUCCUGGCUACUGCGAUUAAGUGUAGACUGAAGUGGAAAGCCCAAACUUCAGAAGGAUCCCACUUCACACAACUACAAAACUGUUGUAUGUCAUAAUGUGAUAUAUUUACCGCAGAGGAUUAGAGCAACUGAGAAGAAAAUAUGAGGCUGAAUAUAAAUACUUUUUAUUAUUAAGCUGAAAAAAAGUCAGUAUUCCAAGAAAAACUCAUAGUUCUGAG